Molecule: ribosomal RNA, 1200 nt
Filed under: Triticum aestivum (bread wheat)
Lineage: Eukaryota; Viridiplantae; Streptophyta; Magnoliopsida; Poales; Poaceae
Description: partial small subunit ribosomal RNA
Source: RNAcentral
AUGGAGUGCCUCCACAAAUUCGCGCUCGCCGACCGCCCCUCCCCUGGCUCCGGCUCCAGGGACGACGGCAGCGCCUACUCGCGCCUCCUCCGCGUGGAGCUCUUCGGGGGCGACGCCUCCCCCGGUGGUGACAGGCAGGCUCCAACAACCUCUUCCACUUCAAGACGGAACGCUCCUCCGCGCCCUCCUCCCCCUUCGCUAAGAAGCUGGACUGCGCCAGCGGCGCCGGCUCCCCCACCCCCAAGAAGGCGCCCCGCAAGGUCCCCAAGACUCCCCACAAGGUUCGAUCCGCCCCGCCCGCCCAUUCCCGCAAACACCUCACGCGCACCGAAUUCUCUGAUCUUCGAUCUACUACUAACUGGUGUGUGGUCGUCACCGGCGUGCAGAACAUGCUCGUCGUCAGCCUCGGCACCUGCGUCUACCUCUGGUCCGCAUCCAGCAGCAAGGUGCCUUUCUUUCUUUCUUGCAUCUUCUUGUUGCAUCCAUGGAUCACGCGCAGGUCAGAUUGCUAAUGGCAUCGUCGUCCAGGUUACCAAGCUGUGCGAUCUGGGGCCGAGGGACAGCGUCUGCACUGUGCACUGGACGCGCGAGGGCUCCUACCUCGCCAUCGGCACCAGCCUUGGAGACGUCCAGUGUAAAAGCAGCUCUUGUUUAUCUGGGAGCAGCACUUGUAAAGGCUGGGCUUUUGCUAAUUCAGUCCUGCACCGGCUGGCACCUCUCUGGAUCGGGGCACGAGGGCUUGAAUUUACUUGGGAGUACAUAUUUCAAGGACUUGAAGCAAAUUCCAAUCUUGUGAUGACCCUCUCCCUUGCUGCAUUAGGAUCCUUGAUGUGGCUGAGGAAGAACAAACCUAGGACUUUAAUUCCAAUAAUUUAUGCAUGUGCUCUGCUUCUAGCAACAAUGCCAUCUAUCACCAGAUGUUGGCAAAUUGUGUCCAUCUAUAAAGGUACCAAGAGGGUGCAUUUCGUCAGGAACUUGAUCAGGGAGGUCGCUGGGUUUGCUCCGUAUGACAAGCGUAUCACUGAGCUUCUCCAUCUCCCUCUCAUCUUCCUUUGCUCGCUAUUGCUGCUCCGAAUUAUACAUGCUGGCAAAGAGAUGUCCCUGUUUCCUCAGUACUAUGCACUGCUAUAUUUAUGUGGCUGUCUCUGUGUGCAUCUUAUUUUGAAACCAAGUGAGACACCUCCAUCCCCUACAUCUUGA